Molecule: ribosomal RNA, 511 nt
Filed under: uncultured bacterium
Lineage: Bacteria
Description: bacterial SSU rRNA
Rfam family: Bacterial small subunit ribosomal RNA
Source: RNAcentral
UGGGGAAUCUUGCGCAAUGGUCUAACGACUGACGCAGCGACGCCGCGUGUGGGAGGACGCUCUUCGGGGUGUAAACCACUGUUGCCCGGGACGAACGAGCAGUUUCGACUGCUGUGACGGUACCGGGUGAGGAAGCACCGGCUAACUCUGUGCCAGCAGCCGCGGUAAUACAGAGGGUGCGAACGUUGUCCGGAAUCACUGGGCGUAAAGGGCGCGUAGGCGGCCCGGUCAGCGUGCGGUGAAAGCCCGGGGCUCAACCCCGGGUCGGCCGUGCGAACUGCUGGGCUGGAGCACUGUAGAGGCAGGUGGAAUUCCGGGUGUAGCGGUGGAAUGCGUAGAGAUCCGGAAGAACACCGGUGGCGAAGACGGCCUGCUGGGCAGUGCCUGCAAGGGCAAUAGCUGACGCUGAGGCGCGACAGCGUGGGGAGCAAACAGGAUUAGAUACCCUGGUAGUCCACGCCGUAAACGAUGGGCACUAGAUGCUUGGGGGAGCGACCCUCCGAGUGUCGGC